CCGCGUCUGCUUAAAUUUUUACGGGCAUUUGUGAGCGCAGACUAAACGGGCCGGGGCGGCCUGUUUUGCCAUUCUAGUUCUUCCCACAUUUUUUCUCUCUCUUCAAGCAUAAACCCUCGAGUACGUUACUCACUCUUUCAAAGCAGAAGAUUCUGGGCUCAUCCUUUAGUAACUCAACGUUCGUUGUUGCUGCUUCCCACAGGUUUUUUAUCCCAGGUAAGUAUUUAGUUCAUCCCAUUCACUAAUUAUCUGAAAUUUCAAGCGAUUCCUGAUAACAUAGGGUUUAAUAUUUCCCCCUUUCUGAAUUCAUCAAAUUAAUGAACUCUUCGAUUUGAAUUGAGUUAAGAUUUAGGUUUUUAGAUGGCAACGGAAACAAAGGCAGCCACCGAGGACGUGAAGAUUGAUCUCUUUGAAGACGAUGAUGAAUUUGAAGAGUUUGAAAUCAAUGAAGGUAACUAAAUCUGAGUAAUUUUCGUUCUUUCUCGCAACCGCUGAUUUAAUUUCUUUGCUUCUGUUUCAAUUUUACGUUGUUGGUUUCCGGUGGUUAUCUCUGCUUGCUUGUGAUUAUUUUUUGCUUUUUAUUAAUCAGAUUCAGACAUUACUUAGAUUCAUGAGAUGAUUGUGGGUUUCCAGUAGUAACACUCAUUAGAUGAUUGUUGUUUAACAAUUUAGUGAUUUCUUCAUUGAGUAGGGUUUGUAUUUUUUAAUGGUAGAUUGGAUCUACCAUAAACCCAAAUAUUAGUCCGUUUAUGGUCUAGUGGUGUAAGGCUUCACUGGAUACCAGAUAUAGGUAAAGGUUCGAUUCUUGUGAGUGACACUUGUUGGAGGACAACCACGUAGUCCGAAAGGGAUUAGUUCCUUACCCAAAGGGGAAAAGAUAUCCUUGGUUAUACAAAAAAACGACCCCUUCACAUAUUGUGUUGUAGUGUUGUACAUUUAACUCAGUGAACGAUGUUAGACCAAAAUUCAUAAUGAAAUUUAUCAUGUAAUAGUAUAAUAUAUAAAGAAAUAAAGAUAAUUGUGUCAAAGUUCAAAAUGACAUUAAUGCAAAUUAACAAUAAAGUUUAGAAAAGAAAAGUAUGUUUGUUUUAAGUGUUCCUCCCAGUUCUUUUACAGACCUGAAAUCAUCAAUGGCUGAAUCAGAUCUAAAACAUUUACCUAUUCUUGAUUACUUUAAAUCACCCAAAUGGUCAAAUGAAUGCAGUAAUAUCCCCUCACCCUCUCAAAUGGGAAUCUGGCUCUGUGUGGUAAAAAUUAGUAAUAACUGUUAGAUUGUUGUUCAUAGCUAUAACACUAGCUGAAAGCUAUGAGGUUGUUUGUAGUUGAAAACAUAACUGUGUAGCUAGUAGAUUGAAUUAGAGACGUUUGGCAAAAGUAGUUGUACAACUAACUGAAAUCUGUUAAAUGACUAAAACUUUAGGACAUGUAAUAUUACAUUGGGUUGGAGUAAAAAUUGUCAUUUGCUAACGAUCAAAGGGAAAAAGUGAGACAUGAUUUUGGAAGAACUUACAGCUCUAAAAAGCUAUAAAUUCCCCUCUAAAAAGUUAUAAUCUCCCUGUAUAUUUUGUUCACAACUCAAUUUUUUUUUACUGAACCAACAGGUUAUACUCUAGCAUAUAUAUCAUAAGUUUGUUAUGUCAAACACACUUAAAAUUUAGUGGUUUAAUAAUUUUAAUACCCAAAAUAACAUUGUUCUAGAGGUUUAUAUAAUAUAAAAUAUAUUAUAAAAGUGGUUAUAAAUUUCUUUGGCAGAGCAGCAGCUCUCACCCGCUCCUUGCAUAGUACGCCACUGAAAUAAGUGAUAUAGUUAGGUAGUGUUUGGCAUUCUAUUUUGUUUUCUUUGGGUCCACCCUUUUAGUGGAACAGAAAGCUCCAAUUUCACCUUUUGUACCCUAUCUGUCUUGUUUAUAAAAUACGCUUCUCUCACGUUCUAUCAUGUUUACGAAAUGCUGCUUUAGGUAGUGUGUGUUGUGUGGAUAGAAUAGAAUGGAACAAAGUGUUCUGUACAAUCUUGUAUCUAUGGUUCUGCCUUUUUAGUGGGAAUGUAGUGCCCCACUUUUUAACCCUCCUGUCUUGUUAUGUUCUACAUAUAGAAUACGACAAUCUUAGAACAAAACUCAUAUUUUAUUCCAUUAGUACUCUGAUAAAUGCUACCUUAGUACACUACAAUUUAAAAUUUUAGCCAUUUUGCUAUAAUGAGUCACAUUAGUAUUCUACAUAACAUAGAAUACUGAAUGGUUAUUGAUGGUGUUGAUCCUGUCUCGUUAGUCAUAAACACUUUUACUUAAUUGCUUAUCUCUUUAUGGCAUGUGAAAAUUCUCUAGCUAUUGGAGUGUAUAGAGUUCGAGACUGCUUAUCCAAUUUGAUCAGUUUGGCCACUUAAAAUUAGGAGCUUUAGGCUUUCUCAAUCAUGUCCUUUCACAUUCUAAUAUUUGUUUAUAUUUCUUUUCCCUGGUAUUGUUAUACAUCUUACAGAAUGGAAUGACAAGGAGGAAGGGAAAGAAGUGACUCAGCAGUGGGAGGAUGAUUGGGAUGAUGACGAUGUCAGUGACGAUUUCUCUCUUCAGCUGAGGAGGGAGCUGGAAAACAAUACUCAAAAGAAUUAAACCAACUGCAGAUUAUCAUUGCUUGAUAGACCAUUUGUGUUAUUUAGUUAUUUGAGUUAUGGUUGUUUUCUUGCCUGCAAAAGAAAUGGAAACUGAGCCUCUUUUUUAAGGAUAUGUAAUGCAGUAACAUACUAACAUUAGGACAUAAUUCUUCUGCUCUUUCUCAAAUAACAUCUGCAUAGAAACUUGUGGUUACUUAAACUAAAUUAUGUCUCAUUAGUUGCCAUCUACCCUCGAGAAUUGGCUUACAAUUUCAAAUAUUCUGUCCUAUUUUUGUUUUGGCAAAAUCACUUGGGU
RNAcentral lists this long non-coding RNA (2903 nucleotides) under Lupinus angustifolius (narrow-leaved blue lupine). RNAcentral describes it as "long non-coding RNA (LANG_LNC003130)". The record is from RNAcentral. Lineage: Eukaryota; Viridiplantae; Streptophyta; Magnoliopsida; Fabales; Fabaceae.